Molecule: small nucleolar RNA, 96 nt
Organism: Suncus etruscus (white-toothed pygmy shrew)
Lineage: Eukaryota; Metazoa; Chordata; Mammalia; Eulipotyphla; Soricidae
Product: small nucleolar RNA SNORD116
Exons: 1
Source: RefSeq, a predicted model, not a curated record
GGAUAUAUGAUGACUACCCCUGUCUCAGCAUUUCAUAGAAAAUCUAUAUAAAAUGAGUGAGAACUCCAAAUGCUACCUUUCUUAUUUUUGAUGUCC